GUUGUUGAAUUUCAAAAUCUGUUGUAAGGUUGUUAGAAAUUUGUUUAAGAUUUAAAAAAAUUGAUUAAGGUUUGAUUAGGAUUAGGAUUUGAUUUAGGUUAGGAUUUAGUUAGAUUUGUUUAGGAUUUGAUUAGGAUUUGACUAAUAUUUGUUUAUAAAUUGGUUAAGGCUUAUUUAAGAUUUAUCUAGGAUUUGAUUAGGAUUUCUUUAGGAUUUUUUUAUAGUUUGAUUAAGGCUUAUUUAGGAUUUUUCUAGGAUUUAUUUAAGACUUAAUUAGGAUUUGAUUAGAAUUUGGUUAGGAUUAGAAUUUGGUUAGAAUUAGGAUUUUAUUUGUAUUUUUUUAGGAUUUCUUUAUGAUUUAUUUAGAAUUUUUUUGUAUUUCUUUUAAAUUUUAUUUUUUAAAAAAAUAAAAAAAUAAAAAAUAAUAAUUGGACUUAAUUGAUUCUUAAUUAUGAUUUUUAAGCUUCUAUAGUAAUUUAUAUACGAUUUUAUUAGAGUGGUUAGGACUUGUUGUCACAAAUUUCUUUUAUCUUCUAUAGCUAG
Molecule: long non-coding RNA, 543 nt
Filed under: Physcomitrium patens
Lineage: Eukaryota; Viridiplantae; Streptophyta; Bryopsida; Funariales; Funariaceae
Description: long non-coding RNA (PPAT_LNC011356)
Source: RNAcentral